RNAcentral lists this ribosomal RNA (409 nucleotides) under Actinomycetes bacterium. RNAcentral's name for it is "Actinobacteria bacterium partial 16S ribosomal RNA". It matches the Rfam family "Bacterial small subunit ribosomal RNA", at positions 355 to 776 of the family's 1533-position model. Lineage: Bacteria; Bacillati; Actinomycetota; Actinomycetes. The record is from RNAcentral.
UGGGGAAUAUUGCACAAUGGGCGGAAGCCUGAUGCAGCGACGCCGCGUGGGGGAUGAAGGCCUUCGGGUUGUAAACUCCUUUCGACAGGGACGAAGCUUUUGUGACGGUACCUGUAUAAGAAGCACCGGCUAACUACGUGCCAGCAGCCGCGGUAAUACGUAGGGUGCGAGCGUUGUCCGGAAUUACUGGGCGUAAAGAGCUCGUAGGUGGUUUGUCGCGUAGUCUGUGAAAUUCCGGGGCUUAACUCCGGGCGUGCAGGCGAUACGGGCUGACUUGAGUGCUGUAGGGGAGACUGGAAUUCCUGGUGUAGCGGUGAAAUGCGCAGAUAUCAGGAGGAACACCGAUGGCGAAGGCAGGUCUCUGGGCAGUAACUGACGCUGAGGAGCGAAAGCAUGGGUAGCGAACAGG